RNAcentral lists this long non-coding RNA (260 nucleotides) under Mytilus galloprovincialis (Mediterranean mussel). The record is from RNAcentral. Lineage: Eukaryota; Metazoa; Mollusca; Bivalvia; Mytilida; Mytilidae.
GGGUAACUUAACAUAGACCAAUUGCAAUAAUCCAUGAAAAUGAUAUAUAUAAGACACAAGAACCUGCCAGAACGACCUUGCAAUCAUUCCAUGCACUAAAUAUAGUUGACCUUGAUGACUGAUCCAUAAGUUGAGGUCAUCCUUGCAAUGCUUUGAUGUAUGAACUCAUAAUAAGCGAAAACUAAAGUAAAAACAAUAUUUUGAACCGUUAAAAUCAAGACAUCAUACCACAUCUCAUCAUUUUUAUAUCAGAACAACAG